UAAAAUCUCUUCUCAAAUUCCAGGAUUCCAACAUUUUUCUCAAGGGACUUGCACCCUUAUAUUAUUUUCAGCUCCACCGUCAGACUGGCAGGUCAUAAAGUUACCAAAUGGACUGGGUGAUCUUUUGGACAGCUGUCAACAUGCGUAGAACUUUACUGUUCAUCACAAUGUUUUUAUCAGUAUAUACUGUAAUGACAGCUCAAACAAGCACAUCCACUGAAAUACCAAAUACAACUGAAACAAGCUCAUCCACUGAAAUACCAACUACAACUGAAACAAGCUCAUCCACUGAAAUACCAACUACAACUGAAACAAGCUCAUCCACUGAAAUACCAACUACAACUG
Triplophysa rosa is the source of this 345-nucleotide long non-coding RNA. RefSeq lists it as uncharacterized. Lineage: Eukaryota; Metazoa; Chordata; Actinopteri; Cypriniformes; Nemacheilidae. The record is from RefSeq and is a predicted model, not a curated record. The transcript is spliced from 3 exons.